GGUGUUAUGAUCAAGUGGUAUGAUACGUCGUUGUGGCUUCAAUAGUCCACGAAACAAUCCCGAUGCAGCCUGGGUUCGAUUCCCAGUAACGCCA
This 94-nucleotide transfer RNA is filed under the name Neofusicoccum ribis. Its description in RNAcentral is "tRNA-His". It matches the Rfam family "tRNA". From Rfam's summary of the family: Transfer RNA (tRNA) molecules are approximately 80 nucleotides in length. Lineage: Eukaryota; Fungi; Ascomycota; Dothideomycetes; Botryosphaeriales; Botryosphaeriaceae. RNAcentral also lists the same sequence under 1 other name. The record is from RNAcentral.